Molecule: RNA transcript, 357 nt
Organism: Leptinotarsa decemlineata (Colorado potato beetle)
Lineage: Eukaryota; Metazoa; Arthropoda; Insecta; Coleoptera; Chrysomelidae
Source: RefSeq, a predicted model, not a curated record
AUAUAAAUGGACAAGUACCACUCUCAAAAUUGAAAGCAUAGUUACGUCGUUCAUAACUGAUUCACUAAUCAAAAUGCGUACAGCUAUUUUUCUCACAAUCUUUGCCAUCUUGGUAGCACUUGCAUCUUCUUAUCCAGCAGACAACUCUGAGGAUGUUGAAAAAUCCCCAUCAGAGAAGUUUUCUGGAGGGGUGGUAGGAGGUUGUACACAGUUUGAAUGUUCACAAUUCUGCUGGAAACACAAUUUUUCAUAUGGAUACUGUUUUUUAAACACAUGUAAUUGUUCUUGAAACUACAUUUUAUGAGAUGUAGCUUAUAUUAGUUACCUACCGUAAUAAAAUCUCUGAUCAUUGAAAAA